This 254-nucleotide ribosomal RNA is filed under the name Triticum aestivum (bread wheat). Its description in RNAcentral is "partial small subunit ribosomal RNA". Lineage: Eukaryota; Viridiplantae; Streptophyta; Magnoliopsida; Poales; Poaceae. The record is from RNAcentral.
GAUGUACUCCGCCUCGCACGAAGAUACGGCAACAACCUUCUGCCUCACCGAUUGCCAGCUGACGGGACUAUUCCCGAGAAGGAAUAGUAUGCCCGAGGUGCUCUUCCGAGAGUCCACGUCACCAGCGUGGUCGGAGUCACUGUACCCGACCAAGCUCUCGCCGUCACCACGGCGAUACACGCAUCCAUGCGUGAGCGUACCCGCGAUGUACCGGAGCAGGUGCUUGAUAGCAGCGAGGUGAUCGCUUGUCGGGG